AGUUGAAGUGUUUUAGAGACAAUAUCAUUAUAAACCAGCUUAGUAUUAGUCAUCUGUGUCAACUCUGUAAAUAAAUUACGUUGUAGAUUUGGAACGUUUCAUACAUCGUUAUCACCGAUUUCAGUUUGUGUAUAUCCGAGAAGUAAUGAAAUGGGGUUUAAAAAGGCCUACUACGGAGUAUAUUAUAUUCGAUGUUAAUUGGAAUCCCAAAGACCAAAUCUAAGUUUGUAGGCCUUCUGAAUAUACGUGAAAAUCCGGGCGAAUACCUUAAGACUAUCCUUGUGUUUCAAUUGUGGUGGAGAUCUGUAUUGCAAGGAUGUGUGAGACGAUGGGUAUACAUUUUAUUUAUACUUUUAUUAACAAUGCGUUUGGUGUAUCAUUCUGUCAUCUGUGUGAAUUCCGGAUAAAUCGCUCCCCAUAUCGGAUGUUAUAUAUGUAGUAUCUUUAAAGGAGUUAUAACUGUUGUCUUGUUACAAAAAGUAAGAUAUUCUGUGCUGUUAUUUGCAAUACACAUUUUCGCCUGAAAGUGAUAUUAAUUACGAAUCUACUAUGGAUACAAACGUGUAACUUACGUAAAUUAAUGGGUGAUAAAUAUUAUUAAACAAGAAGUGGUUAAUUAUAAAUAUGAUGAACGUUGGCCAAGCCUAUUAUUAAACACGUGACCUUGCAGUUUUAUGACCUUAUCUGUCACCAAGACGAAGUUCCUGGCUGUCACGAAGACAUGAAUCAUGUUACGACCAAAGACCAAACCGAGCUGUUGACACAACAACUAUAUAGAAUACGUGUAUCCUUUGAAUAAUAUAAUAUGUGAUUAUCUCUAUUUACAAUGAUAAUAUGUUUUUGUUUUGGAGGGGGGGGGGGGGUAAUCAUCCGUGUUCUUAUUAUGAAAUGAUUAAAACACGUAAGUAUGUCAUUAAAAAAAUUUUCUACGUCUUAUAUCAUAAUAUAAGGUAAGUCUAUUCAUUGUCAUUUAUCAAUUCGGGGCUCUUAACACGGUGGAGAAUACUCAAGUAAGUGGAAAUCUUAUCUUCGAACUAAUGACAAUAAUAUUUUAAUUUCUUUAUUACAGUUAUAAGAACAAAUGUGCCGUUAAAUUUUAACUAUUUUCCAUUUUAGCUAUUAUGUAAUUUGAACGAAGCCAAUAUUAUAUGUAAUCUUAACUCGAACUAAUGACAAUAUUUUAAUUUUUUUGUUACAGUUAUAAGAACAAUGUAUCUUUAAAUUUCAACUAUUUUUCAUUUUAGCUAUAAUGUAAUUUGAAAGAAAAUUUGCUGAAGCCGAAACUGUAUGUAAUUUAAAUUAAAAAUGAAACAAAAUUUGUUAUAUCGUGUAUUAUAUCACAAUUUUAGAUUUUGGACUUGAUUACAUUUUAUAUCUGAACUUAAAAUAUUGAAUGACAUUUAAAAAAAACCUAACGAAAACACUAUCAGUUUCUUCAGUAAAUUUUAAGCUCACAGACAGAUUAACGAUGGCUUCUUUUUUUUGCUUGCAGAAAAUGGUCUAAAGGAAGUUAAAAUCCAAUUUGUUUUUCAAAAGAAUAGAAGAUGAUAUAAAUCUAAUUUAUUUUAAUUCUCUCAUUUUUAUUAAUAUUCACAGUUACAAGACCCGUAAAUCCACCAAGGAAGACUAUAACGCCAAUAGCAUCUCAGGUGACAACAACAGCGUCUCCGAUAACGUCCAUACCUAGUGUAACUGUUGAUCGGUUUUUCCAUGGUAUCGGUGUAGGUUUAGUUGCAGGAGUUCUAAUAACAGCUGGUAUAGCAUCAAUAGUUUUCUGCAUCAUUCUAAAACGUAGAAAACAGACGGUUCAAGAAGUUGAAGUGAAUUCAUCGUAUACGUACCCCAUCUUUAUAGCUCCCCAACCUCCAGUGGGCCCAGCAGCCAACGGGAAUGUACAAAUACCACCGGAAGGUCAUUAUGAAGCUUUAGGAAACCAAGAUCCACAGAUGCCACCAGAAUACGAACAAUUAAAAUUAUACGAAAAUACAAAAUCAUAAAAAAUUUAUAUUUUAAUAAUAACAAUCGUGUAUGUGACGUUAUUGUUAUCAAACUUUCGAUGUAAAUUUAAUGAUUACCAUAAAGUAAAGCACAUGUUCCUGAAACGAUGAUGGCACCGCAGAUUCAAAUAAUGAAUACUGAUCAGCGCUUCGGGAGCCUAUGCUUUUAUUUUAUCUCAUAGUGAAUUUAGACAACAGGGCUCUUCUUAACUAACAAAAAUAAUCACAUCAAUUAAGACAUUUCUAAGAACUGCUAAAAUAACUGCUAAAUCACAUAUAGCAACAGCAAAAUCCGAGCACUGACGGGUAAAAAAUAUCAGCAUUAGACGAGCUAUGAAAAGAACUGUUAACACAUUAACGCAGAAAUAUUGCUUUAUAAAUCUCAUGCUGUAACUACAAACCACACUCGGGAAAUUUAAGUCUUAACUUUUCUUUUGAAAGUGUUACAAAUACCUGAACGGAAUCCAAUAUUUAAAUUGAUUUCAGUAUGUGGGCGUAAAUACAUGGCUGCCAUUAUUCUCAAUGGAUUAAUAGUUUAGUUAUAUACACAGACAAUAACUGAACGCGAUUCGUUUAAACAGGGAGUGUUCUAAACAUUUGUAAACUGAACGAAUAUAGGGUUUAACGUUGGUUCCAUUGGCAUUUGGUAUUUAGAUCUUUAAGAUUAAAGAAGUCCUCCCAGUUAUGAAUGGUUAAUUCUGCGUAAACGACUUUUAUAACCCGUUAAAUUCUAGUUCUGUGCCACUCUUUGAAUCUCUGUGAAAACUAUCUUACUAAAACAAUAUAUCACGCGUUAAUUACGAUUGCGGAAAAUCGCGUUUCUAUCGCCUCAUUAUUUUGAGCUGAUACUCAGGGAAAACGGGCAUUGUUUUCACAUGUUUACGUUCGACAUACAUAUUUAAACACAUGUCUACUUUAUGAAAUCUGGGACGACUCCUUUAAAAUUGCAUAUACAGUAAAUAACGUUAUCAUUUUCUGUAUUGCACUAAGUUAGUUAAUCCACAAUUAUUAAGUCAUAAUUAUUUAUAUUAAAUAUAUUAAUGCAUAUUAUAUACUUUUAAAUUUCGAUUUGAUCUGCAUGGCUGUAUUUAUAAUUUUUUAAUGAAUUCUAAAAUUUUAUUUGAGCUUAAUUUUUAAGAAAAUGGCAGCUUUAUAUAUUGGUUUACCGCCAAUAAGAUGUCUGCACAGGGCUUUGUAGUGGUGCACGUGAUACCAAUAUUAAUAUAUCUAGACAACGGAAACCCUUACAUAACGGACUUUAGGGUGAGAUAACCCUUUAACAUGUAGUUUGAAUACUUAGCAAUUAAAUAUAUUUAUUAUACCGUAUAAUUUUCCUCUUAUUGCACAGAAUAUUAAUCUCUAUCAAUGGUGGCUUGAUUAUGUAAACUAUGUAUAUUUUAACCUGUUAUUAUUGAUAUAUAAUAUAUUUUAUAGUAAUGUUUGAAUAUGGGUUGUCUGCCUGUUAUAUUAUAUUGACAUAUUGUAUAUGAUUUUUAUAUCUUCGCCAAUCUAAAUAAAAUUAUAUCUAUUACAA
Patella vulgata (common limpet) is the source of this 3531-nucleotide long non-coding RNA. RefSeq lists it as uncharacterized. NCBI's taxonomy places the organism in Eukaryota, Metazoa, Mollusca, Gastropoda, Patellidae. The transcript is spliced from 5 exons. The record is from RefSeq and is a predicted model, not a curated record.